RNAcentral lists this ribosomal RNA (1491 nucleotides) under Bacillus cereus. RNAcentral's name for it is "partial 16S ribosomal RNA". It matches the Rfam family "Bacterial small subunit ribosomal RNA". Lineage: Bacteria; Bacillati; Bacillota; Bacilli; Caryophanales; Bacillaceae. The record is from RNAcentral.
GGGAAUGCGGUAUGCUACACAUGUAAGUCGAGCGAUGGAUGAAUGUAUGCUUAGCUCUUAUGAAGUUAGAGGCGGAUGGGUGAGUAACAAGUGGGUAACCUGCCCAUAAGACUGGGAUAACUCCUGGAAACCGGGGCUGGACCGGAUAACAUUUUGAACCGCAGGGUUCGAAAUUGAAGGGAGGCUUCGGCUGUCACUUAUGGAUGGACCCGCGUCCUAUAUCUAGUUGGUGAGGUAACGGCUCACCAAGGCAACGAUUGGUCUGAACCUGAAAGGGUGAUCGGCCACACUGGGACUGACACACGGCCCAAACUCCUACGGGAGGCAGGAUAGGGAAUCUUCCGCAAUGGACGAAAGUCUGACGGAGCAACGCCACGAGAGUGAUGAAGGCUUUCGGGUCGUAAAACUCUGUAGUCAAAGAACAAGUGCUAGUUGAAUAAGCUGGCACCUUGACGGUACCUAACCAGAAAGCCACGGCUAAAUACAUGCCAUCUCCCGCGGUAAUACGUAUGUGGCAAGCGUUAUCCGGAAUUAUUGGGCGUAAAGCGCGCGCAAGUGGUUUCUUAAGUCUGAUGUGAAAGCCCACGGCUCAACCGUGGAGGGUCAUUGGAAACUGGGAGACUUGAGUGCAGAAAAGGAAAGUGGAAUUCCAUGUGUAGCGGUGAAAUGCGUAGAGAUAUGGAGGAACACCAGUGGCGAAGGCGACUUUCUGGUCUGUAACUGACACUGAGCGCGAAAGCGUGCGGAGCAAACAGGAUUAGAUACCCUGGUAGUCCACGCCGUAACAUGAGUGCUAAGUGUUAGAGGGUUUCCGCCCUUUAGUGCUGAAGUUAACGCAUAAGCACUCCCCCCGGGAGUCCGCCUGGGGAGUACCGCCCCAAGGGUGAAAAUUAAAGGAAAUGAAAGGGGCCCGCACCAACGGUGGAGCGUGUGGUUUAAUUAGCAGCAACGCGAAGAACCUUAACCGGUCUUGACAUCCUCUGACAACCCCAUAGAUAGGGGUUUUCCUUAGGGAAGAAAGUGACAGGUGGUUCCUGGUUGUUCUCAGCUGUUGUCAUGAGGUGUUGGGUUAAGUCCCGCAAAGAGCGCCACCCAUGAUUUCCGUUGUCAUUAGUUAUUUUGGCAAUAUAAGGUGACUGCCGGACACAAACCGGAGGAAGGUGGGGACGACGUCAAAUCCCCAUGCCCUCUAUGACCUGGGCUACACACCAAUACAAUGGACGGUACAAGCAAAUGCAAGACCACGAGGAAAUGUCAAUCUCAUAAAACCGUUUUCAGUUGCGGUUGUCGGCUGCAACUUGCCUACUUGAAGUCGGAAUCGAUCGUAAUUCAGGAUCAGCAUGCCGCGGUGAAUACGUUCCCGGGCCCAGUACAAAACAUCCCGUCACCCCAAAUAGGAUUUGCCACACCGUCAUAAUUGUGGCGUAACCUUUUGGAGCCUGCCGCGUUAGGGUGGGACAGAGGAUCGGGGCGAAGUCGAAUCGAGAUACA